CGGCGGCGCGAGGAACAGGGCAGCAGAUUCGGAUGCCGCGAGCGGGAUGCGGUGUCCUCAGCGGAGCCUUAAAGGGAUCUUAGGUGAUCUUAGGGGACCUAAGGGGGCCCCUAAGGGGACGGUCGGCCGCGAGUUGGCGUCGAAGGAUAAGGGAGGACUUGGCGGAAGAGGAGACGAGAGAAGAAGAGCGACGGACAGGCGAUUGCAGUGCGAGGACCAAUAAGCUUUUCAGAUUCCCACACCUGUUGCGGGAAAUAUCAUAGGCGGAGAGGAUCGUGUGCAAAAGCAAAGGGUAUUUGGCGAGUGGGCUUUUGGGUAGAAGUAAUGAAAAAGAGUGCGUGUCCUUGGCGUGGUGCUGAGGCGCGAACACCAGCUCGAUGGACUUGGGCAUCGUCAGUUCUGUUGGGAUGUGCAAAGGGACGAUAUAUAGGUCUAUGGAUUACCUUUUUGAACGACGCCACAGGAUCUGUUUAUAUCUCGAGGGGGAAUGCUGAGUUAACGGUCUCGUCCCAACGACUUCCACCUCUACCACUUUCCAUUGGCGUAGUCUUUCUACACAAGGCUAGAAAAAAGAAGAGAGAGAGAUAGAGAAGAGAGAGAGAGAAAAAAAAAAUAUAUACAUGCAGCUGUUUUAGUAUGCUCUGUGUUAUACCUUUAGGUACGAUUCAUCAGUAGGUUAUAUAUAGAUAACGUUUCGCCUGUAUCUUAACACCUCGUUGGCUCAAAACCCCGUCUCUUAAAGGUUGUUUAUAUUGGAGAAUAGCUUCAUCUUUGAGGUUAAAGUGUCCGGUUGCUUAGUAGGCCACGAGGCACAUUUAUCACAAGAACCCUCUUUAUAAAAAAAAAUAUUACAUGAAAAUUAUUUCACAAUUCUCCUGGUGCAAUAUCAAAAGACUAUGUUUUUUUCUUCAAUUCAGCUUUCCGAAAUAUACGUAUCUACUGGAUAUAGAGUACAACUCAGACCUAACCAUGCAUCGAAAGUAAGUGAUAAAAAAAAAUCACCCAGAUUUUUUUCGCGUUGGUUCUGUAUGUUGUGUAGUAACUGAUGUCA
Long non-coding RNA from Penaeus indicus, 1051 nucleotides. RefSeq lists it as uncharacterized. The record is from RefSeq and is a predicted model, not a curated record. Lineage: Eukaryota; Metazoa; Arthropoda; Malacostraca; Decapoda; Penaeidae. The transcript is spliced from 3 exons.